RNAcentral lists this long non-coding RNA (1650 nucleotides) under Nicotiana tabacum (common tobacco). Its description in RNAcentral is "long non-coding RNA (NTAB_LNC015126)". The record is from RNAcentral. Lineage: Eukaryota; Viridiplantae; Streptophyta; Magnoliopsida; Solanales; Solanaceae.
ACUUUUCAAUUUGAAGGAACAAGGGUCCAAAACACAACAUAAUCCAGUGACUCUUCUAAUACCCAUAUACAACCUACAUAGUGUAUACAGAGCCUCUAAAAAUACAAAAGAGAGUCAUAAUAAUGCUAGCAACAAGGCCCCGACUAUACCUCGAAACGUGGCAAACAUAUAAACAAAAGAUGUACUAGAUGACUCCAGGAAGAAAUGGGGCUCACCGAGUCUGCUGGAAAAAUGAUGAUGGUUCACCACUAGCUGCCAUUAACACUGUCUGCUAUGGAACCACCUACAUCCAUUUAAACAUGUAGCGCCCCAGCAAAAGGGAUGUUAGUAUUGUUGAAUAGUACUAGUAUGUAAAACUAAACACUAAACUUAAUAGAACGAACAAUGAAAUAAAGGAGAAGCAGUCAUGAUAUACAACAAGAGCUUCAAACACAUACGAAAACAUCAAGUAAUGAUCACACAAUUUCCAGUUAAGUUUCCAUCUUAUUUAGGUUUUAUAAUCUCAGUGCCAUGUGCCACAAUCCACACUACCACCGUGUUUCUACAUGAAGUCUGAUCUCGACCCGACCGGUUAGGUCAUCUCAUUUGAGACAUCAACCAUUUUCACAAUUAUAGUCAAUCAAUCCAGCACAAUUACCACCAUGUGUGUGGGAUGGUGUUCGAUCAUGGCCCGAUCGGCUAGGCCAUCUCACUUGAUACAUCAACCAUUCAAUCGUUCAUCUCAAUUCAGAUUUUCUUCCCAUCUUUCAUUACAUGGCACGAGUAGCCUCAUUUAUUAAAUUGUUCUUGGCACUUGGUCGUAUCUUAAAAUUUAAUUUUCCCUUUUUAUACAUUCAAAUAAUAUUAUCAUCCACAUCAAUAAGGCCUAUCAUGUAGGGCAUCGCAUACACAUGGGGAAGGCAUAAAAAAUCUUAAUCAUACGGAGGCUUUUCAUACAAAUAGCAUAGCAAGCUUUAUUCGAUUCUUGACAUGAAUUCUUGACCUUUCUGAACACAUAUAUUCCACAUUUAAACACAUUCUCAAAUGGAAUGACGACAUGAUAAAUAUUUAGAAUAAUCAUUGAACAUAAAUCUUUCAACAUAAUAUGUUAGGGAACGGUUCUAGUAUGAUCAAUUUAGCGACAUACACCAAUUACACGUACACCAGAGGUUCGAUUCUAAGAAGAAGGGGGUUUAGCCAUACAUACAUGGAAUUCGCCCCUUAAUGAUACUAUGAUGAUCCACUACACUAAGCAACUUCAGUUUACAAUAUUAACAUCCAAUGGGACCAUCAUUAGUAACAAAUUCCAUAGUUUAAGCCAUUUAGACACUUUAUCAAACACAUAGUAGGCAUAAGUCUCUAUAUCUCAUAGCCAUAGAAUUGAUUCAUCCAACUAACACUAUUUACCAACAAUUUAACCUACCAUCAUUCUUGAACAUUUUAUAACUUCCAACAUCACAUGCAUGACCAUCCAUCCAUCCCCAAUCAACAAAAUUUAAUCAAAUAAUUUCCUUUCAAUCUCUACAAUGGUUAUGUAUUUAAAUUGAAAAAUUAUGGCUUCCAAUCACCAUCCCAUGAGUACCAAUACUUAAUUCUUACUCAUAUUCUAAUAAUAAAUUCAUGCAUGUAAGUCUAAGGGUGUAGGAUUACCUUUUGAAAAAUAUCUUGCAA